This 334-nucleotide ribosomal RNA is filed under the name uncultured bacterium. RNAcentral's name for it is "partial 16S ribosomal RNA". It matches the Rfam family "Bacterial small subunit ribosomal RNA", at positions 338 to 683 of the family's 1533-position model. The record is from RNAcentral.
CCUACGGGCGGCAGCAGUCGAGAAUCAUUCACACUGGGGGAAACCCUGAUGGUGCGACGCCUCGUGGGGGAAUGAAGGUCUUCGGAUUGUAAACCCCUGUCAUGUGGGAGCAAAUUAAAAAGAUAGUACCACAAGAGGAAGAGAAGGCUAACUCUGUGCCAGCAGCCGCGGUAAUACAGAGGUCUCAAGCGUUGUUCGGAAUCACUGGGCGUAAAGCGUUCGUAGGCUGUUUCGUAAGGCGUGUGUGAAAGGCGCGGGCUCAACCCGCGGCAGGCACAUGAUACUGCGAGACUAGAGUAAUGGAGGGGGAACCGGAAUUCUCGGUGUAGCAGUG